GAUGAACGCUAGCUACAGGCUUAACACAUGCAAGUCGAGGGGUAACGAGAGGAAAGCUUGCUUUCCUUGUCGACGACCGGCGCACGGGUGAGUAACGCGUAUCCAACCUGCCCCCAACUAAGGAAUAACCUUGCGAAAGUAAGACUAAUACCUUAUAAUUUCCUCAGAUGUCAUCUGACGAGGAAUAAAGAUUUAUCGGUUGUGGAUGGGGAUGCGUCUGAUUAGCUUGUUGGCGGGGUAACGGCCCACCAAGGCAACGAUCAGUGGGGGUUUUGAAAGGAAGGUCCCCCACAUUGGAACUGAGACACGGUCCAAACCCCUACGGGAGGCAGCAGUGGGGAAUAUUGGUAAAUGGGCGAAAGCCUGAACCAGCCAAGUAGCGUGCAGGAUGACGGCCCUAUGGGUUGUAAACUGCUUUUAUACAGAAAAAAAGUUAGCAACGUGUGUUUAUUUGUAGGUACUGUAUGAAUAAGGCCCGGCUAAUUCCGUGCCAGCCGCCGCCGUAA
Molecule: ribosomal RNA, 506 nt
Filed under: uncultured bacterium
Lineage: Bacteria
Description: partial 16S ribosomal RNA
Rfam family: Bacterial small subunit ribosomal RNA
Source: RNAcentral